AAAUGAUAAUUUUUACUGAAAAGGAUUUAAUUGGUUAAGUAUAAAAUAGAAUUUUUAAACAUAUUUACCUUUUGCAUCAUGGAUUUAUAAUAUACGAUUGUUUAAUAAAAUCUCGAAUUACUUAUAUUUAAGCUUUUUAUCUAUAUAAUGUUGAAUAAUUAUAUUAAAAAAUUGUUUGGAAAUUAUAUGUUAAUCAUUGAGUAAUAUAACUAGUUGUCUGAGAGAUAUUGUGAUAAUAAUUUAUUUAAGUAGUUUAAUAAAUUAAACUAAUUGAUAUAAUUUAAUUAGUUAUUAUAUAUUUUGUAUAUAAAUAUUUACAACAUUAUUUUAAAAUUUAAAGUAUAUAGUUUUAUAACUAAAAUGUUGUUAUAUUUUUCAAUUUAUUUUUAAUUAUAUGUUUAUCAGUCAUAUUUGAAAUUAUUUAAAAUUUUUAUAGUGUUAGUAUUAGUAUAUAUUUAAAUUAUAAAUUUAAUUAGAAAUUUAAUUUUAUAAUAAUAAUAAAUUUUAAAUAACUAGGCAAUUAUUAGAAUCGAAUGUUUAUCAAAAACAUUUUUUUUUGGUAUAAAAAAUAUGGCCUGCUCACUGAUCUUUAAAGAGCCGCAAUAUAUUGAUUGUGCUAAGGUAGCAAAAUAAUUAGUUUAUUAAUUGUAAACUAGUAUGAAUGGUUAUACGUAUUCUAGUCUUUUUUAAUUUUUUUGUUAAAAUUUAUUUUUAAAGUGCAAAAACUUUAAUAGAAUUGAAAGAGGAUAAGACCCCAAGAAUUUUUUUUUUAUUUAAAUGUAUUUAAAUUUUAUUAUUUGUUUAUUUAAGUUAAAAUUAGUUGGGGUGACUUUUAAGUAAAAUAAAUCUUAAAUUAAAAAUACUAUAAUAGGUUUGUUUGAUUAAAUUUUUUUAUUUUAGAUAAAUUACCUUGGGGAUAACAGCGUUAUAAAUAUUUAUAGUAUAUAUUUAAAUAUUUGAUUGCGACCUCGAUGUUGGAUUAAGUUUUUUUUUGGAACAUAAGCUAAAAAUUAAGGUCUGUUCGACCUAUAAAACUUACAUGAUCUGAGUUCAAAUCGGUGUAAACCAGGUUGGUUUCUAUCUUCAAAUUAUAAUUUAUAUAUUUUAGUACGAAAGGAAUUAAUAUUAAAAUUUUAUUUUUUGAAAAUUUUAUUUUAUAUUAUUUAUAUUUUUAUGUAAAUUUAAUG
This 1187-nucleotide ribosomal RNA is filed under the name Polyascus gregaria. Its description in RNAcentral is "16S ribosomal RNA". Lineage: Eukaryota; Metazoa; Arthropoda; Thecostraca; Sacculinidae. The record is from RNAcentral.